RNAcentral lists this ribosomal RNA (311 nucleotides) under Paenibacillus sp. P17E. RNAcentral's name for it is "bacterial SSU rRNA". It matches the Rfam family "Bacterial small subunit ribosomal RNA", at positions 60 to 355 of the family's 1533-position model. RNAcentral also lists the same sequence under 2 other names. Lineage: Bacteria; Bacillati; Bacillota; Bacilli; Caryophanales; Paenibacillaceae. The record is from RNAcentral.
AGUCGAGCGGAGUUUGAGAGGAAGCUUGCUUCCUUUCAGACUUAGCGGCGGACGGGUGAGUAACACGUAGGCAACCUGCCCUCAAGCCUGGGAUAACUACCGGAAACGGUAGCUAAUACCGGAUAAUUUCUUUCUUCUCCUGAGGAGAGAAUGAAAGGCGGAGCAAUCUGCUGCUUGGGGAUGGGCCUGCGGCGCAUUAGCUAGUUGGUGGGGUAACGGCCCACCAAGGCGACGAUGCGUAGCCGACCUGAGAGGGUGAACGGCCACACUGGGACUGAGACACGGCCCAGACUCCUACGGGAGGCAGCAGU